GACAAACUCCGAAUGCCAAUUAAUUUAACUUGGGAGUCAGAACAUGGGUGAUAAGGUCCGUGUUCGAAAGGGAAACAGCCCAGACCACCAGCUAAGGUCCCAAAAUAUAUGUUAAGUGGAAAAGGAUGUGGCGUUGCCCAGACAACUAGGAUGUUGGCUUAGAAGCAGCCAUCAUUUAAAGAGUGCGUAAUAGCUCACUAGUCGAGUGACACUGCGCCGAAAAUGUACCGGGGCUAAACAUAUUACCGAAGCUGUGGAUUGUCCUUUGGACAAUGGUAGGAGAGCGUUCUAAGGGCGUUGAAGCAUGAUCGUAAGGACAUGUGGAGCGCUUAGAAGUGAGAAUGCCGGUGUGAGUAGCGAAAGACGGGUGAGAAUCCCGUCCACCGAUUGACUAAGGUUUCCAGAGGAAGGCUCGUCCGCUCUGGGUUAGUCGGGUCCUAAGCUGAGGCCGACAGGCGUAGGCGAUGGAUAACAGGUUGAUAUUCCUGUACCACCUAUA
This 499-nucleotide ribosomal RNA is filed under the name Staphylococcus aureus. RNAcentral's name for it is "partial 23S ribosomal RNA". It matches the Rfam family "Bacterial large subunit ribosomal RNA", at positions 948 to 1452 of the family's 2925-position model. Lineage: Bacteria; Bacillati; Bacillota; Bacilli; Caryophanales; Staphylococcaceae. The record is from RNAcentral.